UAAGCGACUAAGCGUACACGGUGGAUGCCCUGGCAGUCAGAGGCGAUGAAGGGCGUGCUAAUCUGCGAUAAGCGCCGGUAAGGUGAUAUGAACCGUUAUAACCGGCGAUACCCGAAUGGGGAAACCCAGUGUGAUUCGUCACACUAUCAUUAACUGAAUCCAUAGGUUAAUGAGGCGAACCGGGGGAACUGAAACAUCUAAGUACCCCGAGGAAAAGAAAUCAACCGAGAUUCCCCCAGUAGCGGCGAGCGAACGGGGAGGAGCCCAGAGCCUGAAUCAGCAUGUGUGUUAGUGGAAGCGUCUGGAAAGGCGCGCGAUACAGGGUGACAGCCCCGUACACAAAAGCGCAUGUGCUGUGAGCUCGAUGAGUAGGGCGGGACACGUGGUAUCCUGUCUGAAUAUGGGGGGACCAUCCUCCAAGGCUAAAUACUCCUGACUGACCGAUAGUGAACCAGUACCGUGAGGGAAAGGCGAAAAGAACCCCGGCGAGGGGAGUGAAAAAGAACCUGAAACCGU
This 516-nucleotide ribosomal RNA is filed under the name Salmonella enterica subsp. enterica serovar Infantis. RNAcentral describes it as "partial 23S ribosomal RNA". It matches the Rfam family "Bacterial large subunit ribosomal RNA", at positions 1 to 559 of the family's 2925-position model. Lineage: Bacteria; Pseudomonadati; Pseudomonadota; Gammaproteobacteria; Enterobacterales; Enterobacteriaceae. The record is from RNAcentral. RNAcentral also lists the same sequence under 2 other names.